AUUGAACGCUGGCGGCAUGCUUUACACAUGCAAGUCGAACGGUAACGGGCCGCAAUGUGCUGACGAGUGGCGGACGGGGGAGUAAUGCAUCGGCACGUGCCCCGUCCCGGGGAGUAACUACUCGAAUGGGUAGCUAAUACCGCAUACGAGCUAAUGUUGUGAGCGGGGGACCGUAAUGGUGAGAGCGAUUUGUGCGGCCGAUGUCAGAUUAGGUAGUUGGUGGGGUAAAGGCUCACCAAGCCAACGAUCUGUAGCGGGUCUGAGAGGACGACCAGCCACACUGGGACUGAGACACGGCCCAGACUCCUACGGGAGGCAGCAGUGGGGAAUCUUGGACAAUGGGCGCAAGCCUGAUCCAGCAAUGCCGCGUGCAGGAAGAAGGCCUUCGGGUCGUAAACUGCUGUUGUUCGGAAAGAACCGGCUCUGGUUAAUCCCCGGGGCUAAUGACGGUACCGAAAGAAUAAGCCCCGGCUAACUACGUG
This 482-nucleotide ribosomal RNA is filed under the name uncultured bacterium. Its description in RNAcentral is "partial 16S ribosomal RNA". It matches the Rfam family "Bacterial small subunit ribosomal RNA", at positions 30 to 507 of the family's 1533-position model. The record is from RNAcentral.